UGGGGAAUAUUGCACAAUGGGCGCAAGCCUGAUGCAGCGACGCCGCGUGAGGGAUGGAGGCCUUCGGGUUGUAAACCUCUUUCGCCAGUGAAGCAGGCCAUCUUCUUUGUGGGGUGGUUGACGGUAGCUGGAUAAGAAGCGCCGGCUAACUACGUGCCAGCAGCCGCGGUAAUACGUAGGGCGCGAGCGUUGUCCGGAAUUAUUGGGCGUAAAGAGCUCGUAGGCGGCUGGUCGCGUCUGUCGUGAAAUCCCCUGGCUUAACUGGGAGCUUGCGGUGGGUACGGGCCGGCUUGAGUGCGGUAGGGGAGACUGGAAUUCCUGGUGUAGCGGUGGAAUGCGCAGAUAUCAGGAGGAACACCGGUGGCGAAGGCGGGUCUCUGGGCCGUUACUGACGCUGAGGAGCGAAAGCGUGGGGAGCGAACAGG
Molecule: ribosomal RNA, 425 nt
Filed under: bacterium
Lineage: Bacteria
Description: partial 16S ribosomal RNA
Rfam family: Bacterial small subunit ribosomal RNA
Source: RNAcentral